This 427-nucleotide ribosomal RNA is filed under the name uncultured bacterium. RNAcentral's name for it is "bacterial SSU rRNA". It matches the Rfam family "Bacterial small subunit ribosomal RNA", at positions 355 to 774 of the family's 1533-position model. The record is from RNAcentral.
UGGGGAAUAUUGGACAAUGGGGGCAACCCUGAUCCAGCAAUGCCGCGUGUGUGAAGAAGGCCUUCGGGUUGUAAAGCACUUUUAUCGGGAACGAAACAUUGUCGGCCAAUACCCGGCAAGACUGACGGUACCCGAGGAAUAAGCACCGGCUAACUCCGUGCCAGCAGCCGCGGUAAUACGGAGGGUGCAAGCGUUAAUCGGAAUUACUGGGCGUAAAGCGUGCGCAGGCGGUUUGUUAAGUCUGCUGUGAAAUCCCCGAGCUCAACUUGGGAAUUGCAGUGGAUACUGGCAAGCUGGAGUACGGUAGAGGAAGGUGGAAUUCCCGGUGUAGCAGUGAAGUGCGUAGAGAUGCGGAGGAACACCGAUGGCGAAGGCAGCCUCCUGGGAUGACACUGACGCUCAUGCACGAAAGCGUGGGGAGCAAACA